UAGAAAAUGGUUCACAACAAAUCUUGUGCUGUUCUUUAUUCGCGUCUCUUACUAUUCUUAUUGCUACUCUUCUCUUCCAAAAUAACAUUUGCUAGGCUCUCUGCAUCUUCAAAAUCAAAAUCCGAAGAGAAGACCUGGCUGGACCUGCUAAUGAAGUUUAGUAGUUACAACGCGAGCAAACCGUUUUCACGGAAGCUGGAGUACGGACGGAAAGCUACAGUCACUACAAAAAAACAAGCUUUUCGCGACAUAUAUAUUGCGACACAUUAGCGCGGCCGUCGCAAUUAUUCAUUAAAAGGCAUAGAUAAUUGACAAAAAAAAAAAAUUACUCGGAGCCAAACUAUUCGCUACAAUGGUUUAAGUAAUGUCGCAAAAGCACAGCAAAAGUUAAAAGAUAACUGCUAUUCGCUACAUAUAGGAACACAUCUCGUACUUGAGAUCUUUUUAGAAUUAACCUAGGUUAUUGACCGUGUCUCUGCCAAGAGUCAACUGCUCUUAGUUUCCCCUCUUUCCCUCUCAGAAGGAUAGUGAUUGAAGCCUCAAAAAUUGAUACCCAUCAAGAAGUUCCUGUAACAGAUCAUCUUCUUCCUCCUCCAAAAAUAGGUCUUCACUUCUUGACACUCUAUCUCCUCUUAUCUCAGUCACAAAAACCUUAAGACCUCCGAAAUCCAAAGGUAAGCUCUUUCUCGCUCCUUUCUUCUCUAACUUGCUAUUUUGUGUUUUCGACUGAUUCUGGGUUCGUUUUAUUUGUAUUUGGUUUCGUUAAUGCUUGUUUAAUUCGGAGGAUUAAUGGAUAAGGGGUCUUGAGAAUUAAUCCAAGUGCGAUAGAUUCAGUUUAAUUGUGUCUAUAUUUAAUUGAUAUGAUCAAUUUUUUGUUCGCUUCACAUAGUGCAGGAGACAACCCAAAACAAAUUAAGGUCUUCUAGAUAUUUGGGUGGCCUAGUUCUUCAUGUGAUCGAUGGGUAAACUAUAUGUUUUCUUUCAUUGUGAUAUUUGCAUAUUAGUAAUCAAAGUCUUUUUUUAUAUUUGGAAUUAGUAAUCAAAAUCUAAUAAUUGAAUGUCAACAGGAAAAAGCCCCAAUUCUUAUUUGUCUUGUCUACCCUAAUUUGAUCUAAUAAGCAAAGGUAUAUCUUUCUUUAGAUGUCUUGAUCUUUUUUUGUUCAUGAUGAUUUAUAGUUAAAUUGAUUUAUACGAGUUUUAGCAAAAACUUAGAUUUUAGAAGAUGAGAAGUGUAAAAUUUGCCGACUUUGGAUACCUAUAUACAAACCAAGUGUCUAGCUACUUAUUCAGUGAUAAUUUUGUAUAGUUGGUAAUCCUUGCUGUUUGAAAAUUUCAUAAGUAUAUAUGUAUGUGUAUGCUUGAUUACUCAUUUGAGUUCAUCCAAAGAUUAACACAUGUCUCUGUAAGUAGCUCUGUAAGUCUGCAUCAUAAUCAAACUUAUUAAUAACUGGUUUGAUGCAAGAUUGUUUAAACCACUUAGUUGGGUCACUUUUGAUUUAUUUAGAGAUAUCUUGACCUUUUUUUUUUAUAUAUUUAUCUAUGUUUCCUCCUCUGAUUUGGAUAAACUGGGUUUUUCUUUUUCUUUUGCAGGGCUUUGAACUUCUAUUUGUGACAAGCACUCUCACUUGAGGGUUGGAAUCAAGAUUACAUACCGUACAUGCAUGUCCAUAUGAUUAUUUUGAAUAGUAAUAUUUGUAUAUGACAUUAGAAUAUUUUUUGUAUAAACAGUUAACAUCAUAUAUGAUGUUUAUUUGUUAUAAGUGAAAGGCAUUUAUAAUGUAAAUGCAAAUUGUGUUUACCUCUUUCUGCGACAGCCAUCUUGGCUGCUGUAAUUUUUUUUUAUUUACCUCACCAAGUAUUUGCGACGGAUAAAAAGCGUCGUAAUCUUGUCGCAAAAGGUUUUUACAACGUUUUUUUACGUGUCGCAUUUAAUGAUAAUUAUUUAUGACAUAAUUUCUUGCGACACUAAAAGAAACGUCGCAAAACCGUCGCAAAAGGUUAUUGCGACGCCACUUUAUGUGUCGUAAAAAGUGAAAAAGUAUUUGCUACGCGUUUUAUGCCGACGGUUCACCAAGCGUCGCAAAACCGUCGCAAAAGGUUAUUUACGACGCUUUUAGAUCUUUUUACGACAUUUUUCUUAUGUCGCAAAAAACCCCUUUUUUUG
This is a long non-coding RNA of Rosa rugosa (rugosa rose), 2164 nucleotides long. RefSeq lists it as uncharacterized. Lineage: Eukaryota; Viridiplantae; Streptophyta; Magnoliopsida; Rosales; Rosaceae. The record is from RefSeq and is a predicted model, not a curated record. The transcript is spliced from 3 exons.